GUGCUCGCUUUGGCAGCACAUAUACUAAAAU
RNAcentral lists this small nuclear RNA (31 nucleotides) under Cervus elaphus hippelaphus. Lineage: Eukaryota; Metazoa; Chordata; Mammalia; Artiodactyla; Cervidae. The record is from RNAcentral.